This 253-nucleotide ribosomal RNA is filed under the name uncultured microorganism. RNAcentral describes it as "partial 16S ribosomal RNA". It matches the Rfam family "Archaeal small subunit ribosomal RNA", at positions 474 to 727 of the family's 1478-position model. The record is from RNAcentral.
UACCAGCCCCGCGAGCGGUCGGGACUAUUAUUGGGCCUAAAGCGCCCGUAGCCGGCCCGGUGUGUCCCCUCCUAAAUCCCCGGGCUUAACCCGGGGACUGGAGGGGAUACUACCGGGCUAGGGGGCGGGAGAGGCCGAGGGUACUCCCGGGGUAGGGGCGAAAUCCUAUAAUCCCGGGAGGACCACCAGUGGCGAAGGCGCUCGGCUGGAACGCGCCCGACGGUGAGGGGCGAAAGCCGGGGGAGCGAACCGG